GGAUGAAUAGCUCAAUGGUAGAGCUGCGGCUUGUUAAGCCGAUGGUUGUAGGUUCGAGCCCUUCUUCAUCCG
RNAcentral lists this transfer RNA (72 nucleotides) under Chitinophagaceae bacterium. Its description in RNAcentral is "tRNA-Asn". It matches the Rfam family "tRNA". From Rfam's summary of the family: Transfer RNA (tRNA) molecules are approximately 80 nucleotides in length. The record is from RNAcentral. Lineage: Bacteria; Pseudomonadati; Bacteroidota; Chitinophagia; Chitinophagales; Chitinophagaceae.